GCUGGUCACAGUGGCACGUGUCUGUAGUCCCAGCUACUCGGGAGUCUAAGGUGGCAGGAUCGCUUGAGCCCAGGAGUUCUGGACUAUAGUGCUCUAUGUCGAUUGGGUGUCCACACUAAGUUCGGCAUCAAUAUGGUGACCUCCCAGGAACGGGGGACCACCACAUUGCCUAAGGAGGGGUGAACCAGCCCAGGUCAGAAAUGGAGCAGGCCAAAACCCCCGUGCUGAUCAGUAGUGGGAUCGCACCUGCGAAUAGCCACUGUACUCCAGCCUGGGCAACAUAGCGAGACCCCAUAU
This is an unclassified non-coding RNA of Callithrix jacchus (white-tufted-ear marmoset), 297 nucleotides long. It matches the Rfam family "Metazoan signal recognition particle RNA". From Rfam's summary of the family: The signal recognition particle (SRP) is a universally conserved ribonucleoprotein. It is involved in the co-translational targeting of proteins to membranes. The eukaryotic SRP consists of a 300-nucleotide 7S RNA and six proteins: SRPs 72, 68, 54, 19, 14, and 9. NCBI's taxonomy places the organism in Eukaryota, Metazoa, Chordata, Mammalia, Primates, Cebidae. The record is from Ensembl.